GACGAACGCUGGCGGCGUGCUUAACACAUGCAAGUCGAACGGAAAGGCCCUGCUUUUGUGGGGUGCUCGAGUGGCGAACGGGUGAGUAACACGUGAGUAACCUGUCCCUGACUUUGGGAUAACUUCAGGAAACUGGGGCUCAUACCGGAUAGGAGCUCCUGCUGCAUGGUGGGGGUUGGAAAGUUUCGGCGGUUGGGGAUGGACUCGCGGCUUAUCAGCUUGUUGGUGGGGUAGUGGCUUACCAAGGCUUUGAGGGGUAGCCGGCCUGAGAGGGUGACCGGCCCCAUUAGGACUGAGGUACGGCCCAGACUCCAACGGGAGGCAACGGGGGAGAAUAUUACACAGUAGGCGGGAGCCUGAUGCAACAACGCCGCGUGCGGGAUGACGGCCUUCGGGUUGUAAACCGCUUUCGCCUGUGACGAGGCGAGAGUGACGGUAACGGGUAAAGAAGCACCGGCUAACUACGUG
Molecule: ribosomal RNA, 468 nt
Filed under: uncultured bacterium
Lineage: Bacteria
Description: partial 16S ribosomal RNA
Rfam family: Bacterial small subunit ribosomal RNA
Source: RNAcentral